Molecule: transfer RNA, 71 nt
Filed under: Camelus bactrianus (Bactrian camel)
Lineage: Eukaryota; Metazoa; Chordata; Mammalia; Artiodactyla; Camelidae
Also listed under: 2 other names
Rfam family: tRNA
About the family: Transfer RNA (tRNA) molecules are approximately 80 nucleotides in length.
Source: Rfam by way of RNAcentral
GGGAUUAUAGCUCAGUGGCAGAGCACAUAUUUGGCAUGCUUGAGGUCCUGGGUUCAAUCCCAGUGCUUCCA